Molecule: unclassified non-coding RNA, 272 nt
Filed under: soil metagenome
Description: partial internal transcribed spacer 1
Source: RNAcentral
ACUAGUAUUGAAGUCCACGGGGAUCAGGCUUUCCGAAAGGAGGGUGGGGGGAUGUUUGGUUCCCCCUGCUUGAGCAGACUGGAGAGCAUGGUGUAACCACCGUCAUAUGGUAGCUAGAUUAUGUUUGGCCUCUGCUGAUCGAGCUUGUCACCUGAAUUCUACUACCCUUGCUUUUUGCGCACCCAUUGUUUCCUCGGCAGGCUUGCCUGCCAGUAGGACCCCUUGAAAACCCUUUGUAAUUGCAAUCAGCGUCAGAAACAACGUAAUCGUUA